GACGAACGCUGGCGGCGUGCUUAACACAUGCAAGUCGAACGGAAAGGCCCUGCUUUUGUGGGGUGCUCGAGUGGCGAACGGGUGAGUAACACGUGAGUAACCUGCCCUUGACUUUGGGAUAACUUCAGGAAACUGGGGCUAAUACCGGAUAGGAGCUCCUGCUGCAUGGUGGGGGUUGGAAAGUUUCGGCGGUUGGGGAUGGACUCGCGGCUUAUCAGCUUGUUGGUGGGGUAGUGGCUUACCAAGGCUUUGACGGGUAGCCGGCCUGAGAGGGUGACCGGCCCCAUUGGGACUGAAAUACGGCCCAGACUCCUACGGGAGGCAGCAGUGGGGAAUAUUGCACAAUGGGCGGAAGCCUGAUGCAGCAACGCCGCGUGCGGGAUGACGGCCUUCGGGUUGUAAACCGCUUUCGCCUGUGACGAAGCGUGAGUGACGGUAAUGGGUAAAGAAGCACCGGCUAACUACGUG
RNAcentral lists this ribosomal RNA (468 nucleotides) under uncultured bacterium. RNAcentral's name for it is "partial 16S ribosomal RNA". It matches the Rfam family "Bacterial small subunit ribosomal RNA", at positions 28 to 507 of the family's 1533-position model. The record is from RNAcentral.